RNAcentral lists this ribosomal RNA (155 nucleotides) under Sphingobacterium sp. NA271. RNAcentral describes it as "partial 16S ribosomal RNA". It matches the Rfam family "Bacterial small subunit ribosomal RNA", at positions 337 to 485 of the family's 1533-position model. The record is from RNAcentral. Lineage: Bacteria; Pseudomonadati; Bacteroidota; Sphingobacteriia; Sphingobacteriales; Sphingobacteriaceae.
UCCUAUCGUAGGGGAGGCAGCAGUAAGGAAUAUUGGUCAAUGGGCGGAAGCCUGAACCAGCCAUGCCGCGUGCAGGAAGAUUGCCCUAUGGGUUGUAAACUGCUUUUGUCCAGGAAUAAACCUUUAUACGUGUAGAGAGCGGAAUAACUGAAGAA